Long non-coding RNA from Ceratitis capitata (Mediterranean fruit fly), 543 nucleotides. RefSeq lists it as uncharacterized. The transcript is spliced from 3 exons. The record is from RefSeq and is a predicted model, not a curated record. NCBI's taxonomy places the organism in Eukaryota, Metazoa, Arthropoda, Insecta, Diptera, Tephritidae.
UGAAGGGAGCAUUUUUAGUCUUCUGAGUCUAAAUUAAAAAAUAGUCGGAUAUAAUUUUCAAUAGGCUAGAAGCAAUAAAUCAUCAAAAGAAGCGUGUGUGUACAUAGGAAAUAGUACUAUAAGUUUCAGUAUCUGCUUAAAUACAUACAUACAUAGCCUGCUUUUUUCAACACAAUACCUUAGCAAAACAAAAUCAAUAUAAUGAAAAAAAAACGGAAAAUAAAUCAUGGAAAAUAUAAAAGAAAAUUAACAAAUAAAUCCACUUUAUCUCCCUGUAAUUCCACGGUUGAUAUGUAUAUAUGUAGCUACACACGUCGUCAGAAAGCGUGAUGAGAAGGUUAUUUAAGGAACAGUUGAAACGUGCGUACGCGUUGGCAAUAAUCCAAUAUGAGAUAAGCACUACCACUACACAAACACACCAACCCAAAUGUAUUGGUAAAAACCAGUUUCGUCUGACACUUAUUGAAGUCAUAUAAAGUUCAAAAUUUACUUACCGGCCAGAAGGAUUAGCAAAUGAGCUGAACACUAAAUCGAGUAGCAAAA